GAACGGUCUGGAAAGGCCGGCCACAGCGGGUGACAGCCCCGUAUUCGAAGCGAGACGAAGCAUAGUGCAAUCCUGAGUAGCGCGGGACACGAGGAAUCCUGCGUGAAUCGGCCGGGACCAUCCGGCAAGGCUAAAUACUCCCGAGAGACCGAUAGUGAACCAGUACUGUGAAGGAAAGGUGAAAAGCACUUCGAACAGAAGAGUGAAAUAGUACCUGAA
Molecule: ribosomal RNA, 219 nt
Filed under: Bacteroides caecigallinarum
Lineage: Bacteria; Pseudomonadati; Bacteroidota; Bacteroidia; Bacteroidales; Bacteroidaceae
Description: partial 23S ribosomal RNA
Rfam family: Bacterial large subunit ribosomal RNA
Source: RNAcentral